This 445-nucleotide ribosomal RNA is filed under the name uncultured organism. Its description in RNAcentral is "partial 16S ribosomal RNA". It matches the Rfam family "Bacterial small subunit ribosomal RNA", at positions 335 to 797 of the family's 1533-position model. The record is from RNAcentral.
ACUCCUGCGGGAGGCAGCAGUGGGGAAUAUUGGACAAUGGGCGCAAGCCUGAUCCAGCCAUGCCGCGUGAGUGAUGAAGGCCCUAGGGUUGUAAAGCUCUUUCACCGGUGAAGAUAAUGACGGUAACCGGAGAAGAAGCCCCGGCUAACUUCGUGCCAGCAGCCGCGGUAAUACGAAGGGGGCUAGCGUUGUUCGGAUUUACUGGGCGUAAAGCGCACGUAGGCGGACUAUUAAGUCAGGGGUGAAAUCCCGGGGCUCAACCCCGGAACUGCCUUUGAUACUGGUAGUCUUGAGUUCGAGAGAGGUGAGUGGAAUUCCGAGUGUAGAGGUGAAAUUCGUAGAUAUUCGGAGGAACACCAGUGGCGAAGGCGGCUCACUGGCUCGAUACUGACGCUGAGGUGCGAAAGCGUGGGGAGCAAACAGGAUUAGAAACCCUUGUAGUCCC